This 23-nucleotide non-coding RNA is filed under the name Mus musculus (house mouse). Lineage: Eukaryota; Metazoa; Chordata; Mammalia; Rodentia; Muridae. RNAcentral also lists the same sequence under 1 other name. The record is from RNAcentral.
UGAUUGCUAAAGGUCUUGAUGGA